Molecule: long non-coding RNA, 605 nt
Organism: Triticum aestivum (bread wheat)
Lineage: Eukaryota; Viridiplantae; Streptophyta; Magnoliopsida; Poales; Poaceae
Exons: 2
Source: RefSeq, a predicted model, not a curated record
CAAGUUUGUAGACAAAAAUACGAAUGUCUAGGGUACCAAAUCAUUAUAAAUACAGGCUUUUGGAUCGGCAAGCAGCACAGUAAGAUAGCACAAUAGCAGACGUACACAGCUCUCAAAGCCUCGCUGGAAUCAGCAGGUAUAUGCAUGGCGUCCUUGGGUAAUAGAGGUGCCAGCCGUUUCAUGGCGCUCCUCAAGAUGGCUCUCCUCGUCGUCGUCACCACCUUCAUUAUCAACAGCUCCGUCUGCCUUGGAGCUGCCGGCCACCACAAUACUGCAGGCCCUCCUACUGUCAACCAUCGCGGGUGCCUUGGCAAGUACUAUUGCCGCCCGCCGGCUGGUGGCCAACCCUAAUUAUAUUAGAUCAGGGACGCAGCUUGCUACUCACCACUCAUCUUCCUUUUUGUAUGGGUGAAUCGUUGAAUAAACUUAUUCGGAUCACUUGGGUAUAAUACCUCCUCUGUCCGCAACUGAUGAAGAGUGGCAACAGAUCCUGGUGUCCAGUACCAAUAAAUGAACCUAUACAUUUGUGUCCGCAUAUUACCAGUUUGUUACCUGGACUUGUAAUAGUUUGCUGGUUAUUUUGUAAAACAGCCGUUUGGUUGAUC